RNAcentral lists this ribosomal RNA (491 nucleotides) under uncultured bacterium. Its description in RNAcentral is "partial 16S ribosomal RNA". It matches the Rfam family "Bacterial small subunit ribosomal RNA", at positions 29 to 506 of the family's 1533-position model. The record is from RNAcentral.
AGUGAACGCUGGCGGUAGGCCUAACACAUGCAAGUCGAACGGCAGCACAGUAAGAGCUUGCUCUUACGGGUGGCGAGUGGCGGACGGGUGAGGAAUACAUCGGAAUCUACUUUUUCGUGGGGGAUAACGUAGGGAAACUUACGCUAAUACCGCAUACGACCUACGGGUGAAAGCAGGGGAUCUUCGGACCUUGCGCGAUUGAAUGAGCCGAUGUCGGAUUAGCUAGUUGGCGGGGUAAAGGCCCACCAAGGCGACGAUCCGUAGCUGGUCUGAGAGGAUGUUCAGCCACACUGGAACUGAGACACGGUCCAGACUCCAACGGGAGGCAGCAGUGGGGAAUAUUGGACAAUGGGCGCAAGCCUGAUCCAGCCAUACCGCGUGGGUGAAGAAGGCCUUCGGGUUGUAAAGCCCUUUUGUUGGGAAAGAAAAGCAGCAGGUUAAUACCCCGCUGUUCUGACGGUACCCAAAGAAUAAGCACCGGCUAACUUCGU